CGGGUUACCUGUUAUUAAAGCAGUUCCUCUGCAGGAAAGAAAGUCUACCAUCGGGCAGGAGGUACAGAAGCCUGAAGUCCCCACACCACCAGGUUCAGGAACAGCGACUUCCCUUCGACCAUUUGGUUCUUGAACUAACUGGCACAAUCCUAAUCACUACAGCAGGAGUACAGUGCAAGACAUAAAAAUUACUAGAAGUUACGAAAAAGUAAAUAAAUAGUGCAGAAGAGGAAUAACGAGGUCGUGUUCAUGGUUUCAUGGACCGUUCAGAAAUCUGAUGGCGGAGGGGAAGAAGCUGUUCCUGAAUCAUUGAGUGUGGGUCUUCAGGCUCCUGUACCUCCUCCCCAAUGGUAAU
Molecule: long non-coding RNA, 355 nt
Organism: Pristis pectinata (smalltooth sawfish)
Lineage: Eukaryota; Metazoa; Chordata; Chondrichthyes; Rhinopristiformes; Pristidae
Exons: 3
Source: RefSeq, a predicted model, not a curated record